Molecule: ribosomal RNA, 2891 nt
Filed under: Pseudomonas syringae pv. actinidiae
Lineage: Bacteria; Pseudomonadati; Pseudomonadota; Gammaproteobacteria; Pseudomonadales; Pseudomonadaceae
Description: bacterial LSU rRNA
Rfam family: Bacterial large subunit ribosomal RNA
Source: RNAcentral
UCAAGUGAAGAAGCGCAUACGGUGGAUGCCUUGGCAGUCAGAGGCGAUGAAAGACGUGGUAGCCUGCGAAAAGCUUCGGGGAGUCGGCAAACAGACUGUGAUCCGGAGAUGUCUGAAUGGGGGAACCCAGCCAUCACAAGAUGGUUAUCUUACGCUGAAUACAUAGGUGUAAGAGGCGAACCAGGGGAACUGAAACAUCUAAGUACCCUGAGGAAAAGAAAUCAACCGAGAUUCCCUUAGUAGUGGCGAGCGAACGGGGACCAGCCCUUAAGUUGUAUUGAGAUUAGCGGAACGCUCUGGAAAGUGCGGCCAUAGUGGGUGAUAGCCCUGUACGCGAAAAUCCCUUUGCAAUGAAAUCGAGUAGGACGGGGCACGAGAAACCUUGUCUGAAUAUGGGGGGACCAUCCUCCAAGGCUAAAUACUACUGACUGACCGAUAGUGAACCAGUACCGUGAGGGAAAGGCGAAAAGAACCGCGGAGAGCGGAGUGAAAUAGAUCCUGAAACCGUAUGCGUACAAGCAGUGGGAGCCCACUUUGUUGGGUGACUGCGUACCUUUUGUAUAAUGGGUCAGCGACUUAUUUUCAGUGGCGAGCUUAACCGAAUAGGGGAGGCGUAGCGAAAGCGAGUCUUAAUAGGGCGUCUAGUCGCUGGGAAUAGACCCGAAACCGGGCGAUCUAUCCAUGGGCAGGUUGAAGGUUGGGUAACACUAACUGGAGGACCGAACCGACUACCGUUGAAAAGUUAGCGGAUGACCUGUGGAUCGGAGUGAAAGGCUAAUCAAGCUCGGAGAUAGCUGGUUCUCCUCGAAAGCUAUUUAGGUAGCGCCUCAUGUAUCACUGUAGGGGGUAGAGCACUGUUUCGGCUAGGGGGUCAUCCCGACUUACCAAACCGAUGCAAACUCCGAAUACCUACAAGUGCCGAGCAUGGGAGACACACGGCGGGUGCUAACGUCCGUCGUGAAAAGGGAAACAACCCAGACCGUCAGCUAAGGUCCCAAAGUCAUGGUUAAGUGGGAAACGAUGUGGGAAGGCUUAGACAGCUAGGAGGUUGGCUUAGAAGCAGCCACCCUUUAAAGAAAGCGUAAUAGCUCACUAGUCGAGUCGGCCUGCGCGGAAGAUGUAACGGGGCUCAAACCAUGCACCGAAGCUACGGGUAUCACCUUUGGUGAUGCGGUAGAGGAGCGUUCUGUAAGCCUGUGAAGGUGAGUUGAGAAGCUUGCUGGAGGUAUCAGAAGUGCGAAUGCUGACAUGAGUAACGACAAUGGGUGUGAAAAACACCCACGCCGAAAGACCAAGGUUUCCUGCGCAACGUUAAUCGACGCAGGGUUAGUCGGUCCCUAAGGCGAGGCUGAAAAGCGUAGUCGAUGGAAAACAGGUUAAUAUUCCUGUACUUCUGGUUAUUGCGAUGGAGGGACGGAGAAGGCUAGGCCAGCCUGGCGUUGGUAGUCCAGGUUUAAGGUGGUAGGCUGAGAUCUUAGGUAAAUCCGGGAUCUUAAGGCCGAGAGCUGAUGACGAGUGUUCUUUUAGAACAUGAAGUGGUUGAUGCCAUGCUUCCAAGAAAAGCUUCUAAGCUUCAGGUAACCAGGAACCGUACCCCAAACCGACACAGGUGGUUGGGUAGAGAAUACCAAGGCGCUUGAGAGAACUCGGGUGAAGGAACUAGGCAAAAUGGCACCGUAACUUCGGGAGAAGGUGCGCCGGUGAGGGUGAAGCAUUUACUGCGUAAGCCCACGCCGGUCGAAGAUACCAGGCCGCUGCGACUGUUUAUUAAAAACACAGCACUCUGCAAACACGAAAGUGGACGUAUAGGGUGUGACGCCUGCCCGGUGCCGGAAGGUUAAUUGAUGGGGUUAGCGCAAGCGAAGCUCUUGAUCGAAGCCCCGGUAAACGGCGGCCGUAACUAUAACGGUCCUAAGGUAGCGAAAUUCCUUGUCGGGUAAGUUCCGACCUGCACGAAUGGCGUAACGAUGGCGGCGCUGUCUCCACCCGAGACUCAGUGAAAUUGAAAUCGCUGUGAAGAUGCAGUGUAUCCGCGGCUAGACGGAAAGACCCCGUGAACCUUUACUAUAGCUUUGCACUGGACUUUGAAUUUGCUUGUGUAGGAUAGGUGGGAGGCUUUGAAGCGUGGACGCCAGUCUGCGUGGAGCCAACCUUGAAAUACCACCCUGGCAACUUUGAGGUUCUAACUCAGGUCCGUUAUCCGGAUCGAGGACAGUGUAUGGUGGGUAGUUUGACUGGGGCGGUCUCCUCCUAAAGAGUAACGGAGGAGUACGAAGGUGCGCUCAGACCGGUCGGAAAUCGGUCGUAGAGUAUAAAGGCAAAAGCGCGCUUGACUGCGAGACAGACACGUCGAGCAGGUACGAAAGUAGGUCUUAGUGAUCCGGUGGUUCUGUAUGGAAGGGCCAUCGCUCAACGGAUAAAAGGUACUCCGGGGAUAACAGGCUGAUACCGCCCAAGAGUUCAUAUCGACGGCGGUGUUUGGCACCUCGAUGUCGGCUCAUCACAUCCUGGGGCUGAAGCCGGUCCCAAGGGUAUGGCUGUUCGCCAUUUAAAGUGGUACGCGAGCUGGGUUUAGAACGUCGUGAGACAGUUCGGUCCCUAUCUGCCGUGGACGUUUGAGAUUUGAGAGGGGCUGCUCCUAGUACGAGAGGACCGGAGUGGACGAACCUCUGGUGUUCCGGUUGUCACGCCAGUGGCAUUGCCGGGUAGCUAUGUUCGGAAAAGAUAACCGCUGAAAGCAUCUAAGCGGGAAACUUGCCUCAAGAUGAGAUCUCACUGGAACCUAGAGUUCCCUGAAGGGCCGUCGAAGACUACGACGUUGAUAGGUUGGGUGUGUAAGCGCUGUGAGGCGUUGAGCUAACCAAUACUAAUUGCCCGUGAGGCUUGACCAU